This 346-nucleotide RNase P RNA is filed under the name Holosporaceae bacterium. RNAcentral's name for it is "RNase P RNA component class A". It matches the Rfam family "Bacterial RNase P class A". Rfam says of the family: Ribonuclease P (RNase P) is a ubiquitous endoribonuclease, found in archaea, bacteria and eukarya as well as chloroplasts and mitochondria. Its best characterised activity is the generation of mature 5'-ends of tRNAs by cleaving the 5'-leader elements of precursor-tRNAs. The record is from RNAcentral. Lineage: Bacteria; Pseudomonadati; Pseudomonadota; Alphaproteobacteria; Holosporales; Holosporaceae.
UUGUGGAAAUGGAUGGUCGCCGUCUUUUUGGACGGAGGAAAGUCCGGACUCCUCGGAGGAAAGCGCCAGAUAACGUCUGGCGGCGUGUAAUAGCGUCAGGGAAAGCGCAACAGAAAGCAUACCGCCUUAGGGUAAGGGUGAAAUGGCGAGGUAAGAGCUCGCCGCGCGAUCGGCAACGGUCGCGGCACGGCAAGCCCCGCUUGGAGCAAGAUCAAAUAGGAAUAACGCGUCCUCCGCGCUAUGUUAUUCGGGUAGAUCGCUUGACGUCUGCGGCGACGCAAACGCUAGAUGAAUGACCAUUGGGAUAAUAAUCCUACAGAAUCCGGCUUAUAUUUUCCACAAAAAC